RNAcentral lists this ribosomal RNA (274 nucleotides) under uncultured bacterium. RNAcentral describes it as "partial 16S ribosomal RNA". It matches the Rfam family "Bacterial small subunit ribosomal RNA", at positions 523 to 796 of the family's 1533-position model. The record is from RNAcentral.
AUACGGAGGGUGCAAGCGUUGUUCGGAAUUACUGGGCGUAAAGAGUACGUAGGCGGUUGCUUAAGUCAGAUGUGAAAGCCCCGGGCUCAACCUGGGAACUGCAUUUGAAACUGAGUGACUAGAGUCUAAGAGAGGGGAGUAGAAUUCCGGGUGUAGCGGUGAAAUGCGUAGAGAUCCGGAGGAAUACCAGUGGCGAAGGCGGCUCCCUGGCUUAAAACUGACGCUGAGGUACGAAAGCGUGGGUAGCAAACAGGAUUAGAAACCCUAGUAGUCC